This 301-nucleotide long non-coding RNA is filed under the name Homo sapiens (human). Its description in RNAcentral is "HSALNT0073704". Lineage: Eukaryota; Metazoa; Chordata; Mammalia; Primates; Hominidae. The record is from RNAcentral.
GUUUGUUUUGGGUUUGGAGAAUUCUAUAUGUAUGUUCGUUUAGCAUGGUUUUGACUGCCAUUCAUUUAUAAAAUAUUUAAAUAGCUGGUUUAUCUCUUUAAGACCCAAAUAAGGUGGUAUUGUAUUUUAUGUACCUGUGCUAUAGCCACAAAAUUUCCUCAUCAUCUCCUAAAAUACAACUGAGCUCUUACUUAUGUGCACACACAGAAUGAAAAACAGAGACAAUGAUAUAUCAACCAAAUAAAUAUUGGAAUUAAAGCUGGAUACUGCUCAUUAGCCACCCCACUUUCUGAAAAGGCUG